CAGAGUUCAUGCCCUCACGGGUGACUCUCCAACCCUAUGUUAUUGUACCUUUGUUGCUUUGGCGAGCCGCUUCGGCCACCGGCUUAUGCUGGUGUGUGCUCGCCAGAGGACCCCAAACUCUGAAUAUUAAUGUCGUCUGAGUACUAUAUAAUAGUUA
This 157-nucleotide unclassified non-coding RNA is filed under the name uncultured Xenopolyscytalum. RNAcentral's name for it is "sequence contains ITS1". The record is from RNAcentral. Lineage: Eukaryota; Fungi; Ascomycota; Leotiomycetes; Helotiales.